GGAGAAAAGCAGGGGAUCGCAAGACCUUGCGCUCAUUGAGCGGCCGAUGCCUGAUUAGCUAGUUGGUGAGGUAAAGGCUUACCAAGGCGACGAUCAGUAGCUGGUCUGAGAGGACGACCAGCCACACUGGGACUGAGACACGGCCCAGACUCCUACGGGAGGCAGCAGUGGGGAAUUUUGGACAAUGGGGGAAACCCUGAUCCAGCCAUGCCGCGUGAGUGAAGAAGGCCUUCGGGUUGUAAAGCUCUUUCAGCCGGAACGAAACGGUCACGGCUAAUACCUGUGACUACUGACGGUACCGGAAGAAGAAGCACCGGCUAACUACGUGCCAGCAGCCGCGGUAAUACGUAGGGUGCGAGCGUUAAUCGGAAUUACUGGGCGUAAAGCGUGCGCAGGCGGUUUUGUAAGUCAGAUGAGGAAUCCCCGGGCUUAACCUGAGAACUGCGUUGAUAUUAACGAGGCUAGAAGGGC
RNAcentral lists this ribosomal RNA (471 nucleotides) under uncultured beta proteobacterium. Its description in RNAcentral is "bacterial SSU rRNA". It matches the Rfam family "Bacterial small subunit ribosomal RNA", at positions 198 to 650 of the family's 1533-position model. Lineage: Bacteria; Pseudomonadati; Pseudomonadota; Betaproteobacteria. The record is from RNAcentral.